Molecule: transfer RNA, 73 nt
Filed under: Actinoplanes derwentensis
Lineage: Bacteria; Bacillati; Actinomycetota; Actinomycetes; Micromonosporales; Micromonosporaceae
Rfam family: tRNA
About the family: Transfer RNA (tRNA) molecules are approximately 80 nucleotides in length. Their secondary structure includes four short double-helical elements and three loops (D, anti-codon, and T loops). Further hydrogen bonds mediate the characteristic L-shaped molecular structure. tRNAs have two regions of fundamental functional importance: the anti-codon, which is responsible for specific mRNA codon recognition, and the 3' end, to which the tRNAs corresponding amino acid is attached (by aminoacyl-tRNA synthetases). tRNAs cope with the degeneracy of the genetic code in two manners: having more than one tRNA (with a specific anti-codon) for a particular amino acid; and 'wobble' base-pairing, i.e. permitting non-standard base-pairing at the 3rd anti-codon position.
Source: Rfam by way of RNAcentral
GUGCCGCUAGCUCAGCAGGUAGAGCAAUCGCCUCUUAAGCGAUGGGUCCGGGGUUCGAGCCCCCGGCGGCGCA